GUGUCAGCCGCCGCGGUAAGACGGAGGAGGCAAGCGUUAUCCGGAAUUAUUGGGCGUAAAGGGUCCGCAGGUGGCAGUUCAAGUCUGCAGUCAAAGGUCGGGGCUCAACCCCGGAAAGGCUGUGGAAACUGAACAGCUAGAGUACGGUAGGGGCAGAGGGAAUUCCCAGUGUAGCGGUGAAAUGCGUAGAGAUUGGGAAGAACACCGGUGGCGAAAGCGCUCUGCUUGGCCGAAACUGACACUGAGGGACGAAAGCUAGGGGAGCGAAAGGGAUUAGAUACCCCUGUAGUCCUAGCUGUAAACGAUGGGUACCAGGCGUUGUCCGUAUCGACCCGGGCAGUGCCGUAGCUAACGCGUUAAGUACCCCGCCGGGGGAGUACUCUCGCAAGAGUGAAACUCAAAGGAAUUGGCGGGG
RNAcentral lists this ribosomal RNA (415 nucleotides) under uncultured prokaryote. RNAcentral's name for it is "bacterial SSU rRNA". It matches the Rfam family "Bacterial small subunit ribosomal RNA", at positions 505 to 918 of the family's 1533-position model. The record is from RNAcentral.